This 1365-nucleotide long non-coding RNA is filed under the name Mus pahari (shrew mouse). Its description in RNAcentral is "lncRNA (MGP_PahariEiJ_G0006029.1)". The record is from RNAcentral. Lineage: Eukaryota; Metazoa; Chordata; Mammalia; Rodentia; Muridae.
GAAGCAGGAAGCAGAAAACACUCUCCAUCCAUCCUCAUGCAGCUUGCCUACUGCCAAGUAGACAGUCAAUAAACAAGGAAAUAAUUAGUAGCACGGCUCAUUAGGAAAGGACUUAUCCUAAGAACAACAAAAUCAAGUGGGAAGGGGAAUGAAGGCUCGGAACAGGGGCUUACUUUCCAGCCAGGUGGCUGUGAUAGGAAUGGCAGCUGCCAGGGACAAGGAACAUUCUAAGGCAAUGCAGUCCCUGGUGCAAAGGCCCAUGGGGCAGGACAUACCUGACACACGUGUGGCACGUAAUGUGUGGCUCAUAAAGGCAGAUGUGGAAACAGUCCCUGGUGGUGGAGAGAGGUAUACAAGUCCCCCAGCUAGCGGACACUAGAACUCACGCUGGCCUUGUCCUGAGAGCUCUUCCUGUUGGAAGCAUUGUCAAGGCUCAUCAAGUGCACUGACACUGAGGGAAGGUUUGUCAGGCUGGGAACCCAGGGCACAGUCAAGGAUGUAAGCUGGGACUCUGAGGUCUGCCUCUGAGUUCUGUGUGUCCUGCAGCCACCACAUUCACGUUUCUCCCGGGUGCUAUCCUGCUGGACAUUUUUCUCUUUGAUUUGAUGGCUAUACAAUUAAUCUCAUCUGACAGGUGAGGAGGGGUCUCCCCUGCCACGGUCCCCAAGGAGAGUAAAUAUUGAUUUUGGGAAAUGGGGUGGGGGGAAGAUUCACUUGUGAGUCGAUUCUGAGUCAAACCGCAUCUUGAGUGGCAUUCCGUGAUGAAGGAUGGUACCUUUGUCCUUUUGGCUGGCACACUGAGUGUGAGAGGAGGCGGGGGCUCUCCACAGGCCAUCAGGAAAAACUUAGGAGCGCCACACAGCAUCCUUGAUGAGUGAAUGCUGGGUCUAUCCUGUGAUGAGGUUGUCUGAGCUUCGGGCAGACCCGUUUGAGUAACAGGUGCAGGGUUUGGCUCUGUGAGGACUGUCUGAGAGGCUUCCAUUCAGCUGAGCCCUGUGCCCUGCACUGGAGCACAGGGCGCCUUAUACACCCAGUCUGCUUAGGGAAGAAGCCAUGUGUCUCCAGUACUCACGUGCAUACAAGCUGCCUGUUUCCUGUUCCGGAGGCCAGUCUUCGGCUUCCCUGGAGAGACUAGCGUGUCCUUAUCUGGAUGGCUUGUUUCAGUAGUACCGUCAUGAAAUGGCUCUCGAGGAUACUUGCAUGUCCUGGGGGUGGAGGACAAAGGGACAAGAGGUCAAACACACCUUAGGGUGAAAUGAAGUCACACUGUUAGCAACUCCCAACUGAGGUCCAUACCUAAAGCUGAGAUGCUUGGCUUACAGAACAGAUCCUGAGCCAUUCCACUGGUAAAAAACUCAAGUAUAU